UACGGGAGGCAGCGGUGGGGAAUAUUGCACAAUGGGCGCAAGCCUGAUGCAGCCAUGCCGCGUGUAUGAAGAAGGCCUUCGGGUUGUAAAGUACUUUCAGUCGUGAGGAAGGUGUUAAGGUUAAUAACCUUAGCAAUUGACGUUAGCGACAGAAGAAGCACCGGCUAACUCCGUGCCAGCAGCCGCGGUAAUACGGAGGGUGCGAGCGUUAAUCGGAAUUACUGGGCGUAAAGGGCACGCAGGCGGUUAAUUAAGUUGGAUGUGAAAUCCCCGGGCUUAACCUGGGAAUGGCAUUCAAGACUGGUUAGCUAGAGUCUUGUAGAGGGGGGUUAGAAUUCCAUGUGUAGCGGUGAAAUGCGUAGAGAUGUGGAGGAAUACCGGUGGCGAAGGCGGCCCCUGGACAAAGACUGACGCUCAUGUGCGAAAGCGUGGGGAGCAAACAGGGAUUAGAUACC
RNAcentral lists this ribosomal RNA (455 nucleotides) under uncultured bacterium. RNAcentral's name for it is "bacterial SSU rRNA". It matches the Rfam family "Bacterial small subunit ribosomal RNA", at positions 340 to 786 of the family's 1533-position model. The record is from RNAcentral.